This 626-nucleotide unclassified non-coding RNA is filed under the name Hevea brasiliensis (rubber tree). Lineage: Eukaryota; Viridiplantae; Streptophyta; Magnoliopsida; Malpighiales; Euphorbiaceae. The record is from RNAcentral.
CAGCCUCAAACGACGCAGCAGAAAAAGAACCAUCCAUCGAAUUGCUAUGCCUAUGACGAGAACUCGAACCGGAACCCAAACCCAUCAUCUUCUUCUCCUCCGACGCAGCGGGCGUUGUAGCUCCAGCUUCACCAAACUCCAGACCAUCAAAAAAGUCGGCGUCAACGGAAAGGCUCCUGAAGUGAUUCAACGGUCUAGGGUUAUGAUCAGCACCCGGUCCAUUUGAAGACGAGUCAGCUGAAUUCGCCGGCUGCAUGUGGGUAUCAGUAGAAGGGGAUAAAGCCGGCGCCGAAAUGUCAAGGUUGAAGUCAGCAACGACGUCGUCUAAGAGGAUGUCAUCAUCGAAGUCCGGCAACCUGAAGAAAGUCUCCGACUGUGCCCGGCGGUGACGUGCUAUACGGGUCGGAGUAUCCGCCAUCUGGUCAAGGUCAAUCCGACCCGGUAGAAAUGGGAUGGAUAUAGGCUUUCCGGUGAACUUCGGGUCCAUAGCAGACAAACCCAAAUCAAUUCUUCAGUUCAAUUUUGGAAAGAAGAAGAAGAAGAGACUGUAGAAAUGGGGUUUGGUUGGGGGGCGGGGGUUGAAGAAGGGAGAGCGGGUGUUGGCUCAGAUAGCGUUUGAUCAGCAA